Molecule: unclassified non-coding RNA, 343 nt
Filed under: Hevea brasiliensis (rubber tree)
Lineage: Eukaryota; Viridiplantae; Streptophyta; Magnoliopsida; Malpighiales; Euphorbiaceae
Source: RNAcentral
CUCACUCUCUUCUGUCAGUCUCUCCAGUGUCCCUCUUUUUCUUUUCUUUUGGUUCUUUUCUUUUGACCCUCCAGAUCUGAAUCCACAAAACCCACAACCUCAUGUAAAACUGCAAACCCCACUCCAUAGCUAGGGUUUCCCAAAUCAACCAAAAGAAAACCCAUUCGUUUUUCUUGAUGCUCUCUCUUCAGCAGUUCUUGACUUUAAGAACCCAAAAACAUUUUUCUUUUUCUUGAAUAAUAGUAAUAAAUGAAGAGAGAGAAGAGAUGAGUCCAGUGCUUUUCUGGUGAAGUUGUGCUGGGGUGCAAAUGGGUCGGACAUGACUGAGUUGCUUAAAACCUGG